AGAUUGAACGCUGGCGGCAUGCCUUACACAUGCAAGUCGAACGGCAGCACGGGAGCAAUCCUGGUGGCGAGUGGCGAACGGGUGAGUAAUACAUCGGAACGUGCCCAAUCGUGGGGGAUAACGCAGCGAAAGCUGUGCUAAUACCGCAUAAGAUCUACGGAUGAAAGCAGGGGAUCGCAAGACCUUGCGCGAAUGGAGCGGCCGAUGGCAGAUUAGGUAGUUGGUGAGGUAAAGGCUCACAAGCCUUCGAUCUGUAGCUGGUCUGAGAGGACGACCAGCCACACUGGGACUGAGACACGGCCAGACUCCGUACGGAGGCAGCAGUGGGGAACUUUUGGACAAUGGGCGAAAGCCUGAUCCGAGCCUAGUGCCGCGUGCCAGGUAUGAAAGGUCCGUUUACGGUUA
RNAcentral lists this ribosomal RNA (405 nucleotides) under uncultured soil bacterium. RNAcentral's name for it is "bacterial SSU rRNA". It matches the Rfam family "Bacterial small subunit ribosomal RNA", at positions 26 to 435 of the family's 1533-position model. The record is from RNAcentral.